RNAcentral lists this ribosomal RNA (441 nucleotides) under uncultured bacterium. Its description in RNAcentral is "partial 16S ribosomal RNA". It matches the Rfam family "Bacterial small subunit ribosomal RNA", at positions 338 to 795 of the family's 1533-position model. The record is from RNAcentral.
CCUACGGGAGACAGCAGUGGGGGAUAUUGCACAAUGGGGGAAACCCUGAUGCAGCGACGCCGCGUGGGUGAAGAAGUAUUUCGGUAUGUAAGGCCCUAUCAGCAGGGAAGAAAGAAGACGGUACCUGACUAAGAAGCCCCGGCUAACUACGUGCCAGCAGCCGCGGUAAUACGUAGGGGGCGAGCGUUAUCCGGAUUCACUGGGUGUAAAGGGAGCGUAGACGGCCGUGCAAGCCAGGAGUGAAAGCCCGGGGCCCAACCCCGGGACUGCUCUUGGAACUGUGCGGCUGGAGUGCGGGAGGGGCAGGCGGAAUUCCUGGUGUAGCGGUGAAAUGCGUAGAUAUCAGGAGGAACACCGGCGGCGAAGGCGGCCUGCUGGACCGCGACUGACGUUGAGGCUCGAAAGCGUGGGGAGCGAACAGGAUUAGAUACCCCAGUAGUC